GGCACUACGGUGCUGAAGCAACAAAUGCCCUGCUUCCAGGAAAAGCCUCUAAGCAUCAGGUAACAUCAAAUCGUACCCCAAACCGACACAGGUGGUCAGGUAGAGAAUACCAAGGCGCUUGAGAGAACUCGGGUGAAGGAACUAGGCAAAAUGGUGCCGUAACUUCGGGAGAAGGCACGCUGAUAUGUAGGUGAAGCGACUUGCUCGUGGAGCUGAAAUCAGUCGAAGAUACCAGCUGGCUGCAACUGUUUAUUAAAAACACAGCACUGUGCAAACACGAAAGUGGACGUAUACGGUGUGACGCCUGCCCGGUGCCGGAAGGUUAAUUGAUGGGGUUAGCGCAAGCGAAGCUCUUGAUCGAAGCCCCGGUAAACGGCGGCCGUAACUAUAACGGUCCUAAGGUAGCGAAAUUCCUUGUCGGGUAAGUUCCGACCUGCACGAAUGGCGUAAUGAUGGCCAGGCUGUCUCCACCCGAGACUCAGUGAAAUUGAACUCGCUGUGAAGAUGCAGUGUACCCGCGGCAAGACGGAAAGACCCCGUGAACCUUUACUAUAGCUUGACACUGAACAUUGAGCCUUGAUGUGUAGGAUAGGUGGGAGGCUUUGAAGUGUGGACGCCAGUCUGCAUGGAGCCGACCUUGAAAUACCACCCUUUAAUGUUUGAUGUUCUAACGUUGGCCCGUUAUCCGGGUUGCGGACAGUGUCUGGUGGGUAGUUUGACUGGGGCGGUCUCCUCCUAAAGAGUAACGGAGGAGCACGAAGGUUGGCUAAUCCUGGUCGGACAUCAGGAGGUUAGUGCAAUGGCAUAAGCCAGCUUGACUGCGAGCGUGACGGCGCGAGCAGGUGCGAAAGCAGGUCAUAGUGAUCCGGUGGUUCUGAAUGGAAGGGCCAUCGCUCAACGGAUAAAAGGUACUCCGGGGAUAACAGGCUGAUACCGCCCAAGAGUUCAUAUCGACGGCGGUGUUUGGCACCUCGAUGUCGGCUCAUCACAUCCUGGGGCUGAAGUAGGUCCCAAGGGUAUGGCUGUUCGCCAUUUAAAGUGGUACGCGAGCUGGGUUUAGAACGUCGUGAGACAGUUCGGUCCCUAUCUGCCGUGGGCGCUGGAGAACUGAGGGGGGCUGCUCCUAGUACGAGAGGACCGGAGUGGACGCAUCACUGGUGUUCGGGUUGUCAUGCCAAUGGCACUGCCCGGUAGCUAAAUGCGGAAGAGAUAAGUGCUGAAAGCAUCUAAGCACGAAACUUGCCCCG
RNAcentral lists this ribosomal RNA (1247 nucleotides) under Escherichia coli. RNAcentral's name for it is "partial 23S ribosomal RNA". It matches the Rfam family "Bacterial large subunit ribosomal RNA", at positions 1573 to 2801 of the family's 2925-position model. The record is from RNAcentral. Lineage: Bacteria; Pseudomonadati; Pseudomonadota; Gammaproteobacteria; Enterobacterales; Enterobacteriaceae.